Molecule: ribosomal RNA, 2964 nt
Filed under: Triticum aestivum (bread wheat)
Lineage: Eukaryota; Viridiplantae; Streptophyta; Magnoliopsida; Poales; Poaceae
Description: partial small subunit ribosomal RNA
Source: RNAcentral
AUGGGGCGCCGCCCGAAGCUCUCCUCGCCUCCAGCUGCGCCAGAUGGAGCUUCUUCGUCGACCAUGCUGGCUGCCAAGAAGGUGCCUGCACUGAACACGACGUACAAUGCCGGGCUGCUCCAUUCCAUCGCCGGAGAAUGGAAUCCAAACAUCAAAGGUGUGUUCUCCGGCAUAGGCAUGGAAGAAAUCUGCAAGAUAAAGGAUAUGGGGAACAACAACCGUAUCUUUAGCAUGUCCCUCUUAGCUAGGAUCGAUCCCAAAACCAUGAAGAUGGACAUGGGUGAUGGCAAUCACGUUGUGAUAGACUCUAGGGAGGUGGCAAAGGGAGCACACCCAAAAAUUGCAAAUGAACUGCUGCCGGUGCUAGCUGAGCCAAACCAAAUCUCCGACUAUGACUUUUGCGAUUAUGUUGUGGAGGGGCUGAGAGAGGGUGCGGCCAAGCUGAGGGAGGAUCUACUGCACGACCCAACUCAGCUCUCUCUGCAGGGCUGCCUUGUUAUCCCACAGAUCAAAAAGCAUGCAACAAGGAAUCGUGUGGACGCUGGGUUUGAGGCUGCGGAUGUUCCUAGAUCGCCGGCAUUUAAUGUCGUUUCUGCUAGCCCAGCUCAAGCACAAGGCUGGACCACGCCAAGUUCUAGUGUGCAUGCUGCUCCCCUGGAUUUGAUUCUUGAUGCGAUGGAGGAGGCAGUGCAUCAUCGACUGAAGCAGCGGGAGGAGGAAUUCCUCAAGAUAGGCAAAGUGCUUGAAGAAAUCAAGAACAAGGCGGAUGCUAAACGGCACAGAGACCUCGAGGACACACUUGAUGAUUUCAUGGAGCGGGUGAAGAGACAAGCUCCAAUGUCAGCAACAUUUCCUAACUGUGUUGAUGUGCGCGGGGAGAGCAUGCAUGCAUGGGCGAGCGCUAGGCACGGGUUUGUUUACUCCUGCAUGCAUGACAUACAUGGGCCAUCCAUGCAUGAUGUUGCCCAAGAUCUGGCUGAAACUUCACGCGAAGCUGCGAGGUCUUUGAUGUCAGUGGUUGUUGUUAAAGAGGCGAUACGUGUCCAACCAGAAACGCCUGGUGUGGCUGCUGCAACCACGGCGGUGCAAGGACCCGACCUGAACGCAUGCCUUGGGGUGCAUGUGAGUUUGCUUGGGAAAGAAAUUGCUAUCCACGGGCCAGUUGAUGAACCAGAGGAGAAGCCUAUGAUUGUGGACCACAAAGGCAAGGGGCCAGCUAUUGACGUGGUGUACCAUAGGUGCACUAGACAGACCACCAUGCAUGAGGUGCUGGGAGUGGGAGGUUCUUCGUCUAAAGAGCUUCAUCCGGUGCUGCCGCCUGUUGACACUGAUUUGACUGAAGAGCUUCAUCCUUCUUUGAUCUGUGGAACUGUUGUGCCGGAUGCAUUGCAGCUGCAAAAUGACCAGGCUGCAGGAAUUGCCGCGACCACGCCAAUAGGGAACAGGAGGUUGGCACUGCCUCAUGUAGGGGAACAAAGCAAGCCGGCCCCUCUUGCGGUUGUUCCAGCUUUGCCACCUGCACGUGAUUACGGCUACUCUCCAUUUGAGCUGGAUCUGCAGCAUUUGUUCUACCCAAACCACGUAUGUGUUGAUUUGUAUGAGAACGUUGCACUCCUCACUGAGCCGUCUGAGCUCAGCAGAACUUGGUUCAAGCAUCACAACCCCACGGUGCUCAGGCUGGAUGGGCAUAAGAUGAAGUACCAAUUCAGCUUGCAUGGUGAGAUGAUGUACACAGGCCUUGAUGCAUGGCUCCACAUGGAAAAUAUUGAUACUGAGCACGCGCGCGUUGUGCUCAUUGGGUUGCUUUCGACGCCCAAGCUUGGUUUCCCACUAUGCAUGUGCUGUCUGAUCUUGAUCCCUGUGUGGCUUGCUCACGAUUGGUCCCUGUACGCCUUCAACAUGGAGCUGACCAGGGUCACGGUGAUGGACCCGUUCUACACACAGGUGGGAUCCCCAGUGUACGAGUCGAAGCAUGGGUCAACAGUUCACAUGCUGCUUAAAGGACUCAAAAUACUGGGCACCUUGUUGUUGGACGGCUGGGACAUGGAUAUCUCCAAAUGGACUGUUCGGUACAACAUUCAUAUGCACAUAGCUUGCGGCAGCGGUGAAUCGCCUGGCUACAUUGCAUACAAUGCUGACAACUUCAACGCUUAUGAGUUGGAGGAACCCGUUCCGCAUGUUGGUCUUCCCCUGCGUCGAAGGAGGAUGCUCUAUGAGACACUAGCCUGUUCGGGAAACACGGCUGCUCACCCGGGAUUCAUGGAGGAAGUGGAGGAGGACUGGCAAGAGUGCCAUUGGCACGUGACGGGCCUGCCAUGCAAAACAAUUAGAAAAACACCGGUGAGAGCCGUUGCCCACCACUCCUUUCGAAAAGUGACUGUUGGUGGGAGCCCUUGGCUAUAUAUACAACAUGCCGCCUACACUCUGUUGGGCUUCACGCCACCAGCAUCAAAUCCUCCCCAACAAAUGUCUUUGUCAGUCUCUUCGAGCUCAAGGUGUGCUUCUUCAUCCCAGAGGCGUUGGGCCUCCCCAAGCAGGUCGCCGGUGAGAUACAGGGUGGGUCCACUGGACUAUGAACCUGCGACGCCAUGCUGGUGCAAGGAGAAACCCAAGGCUGCCAUGUGGAUCUCCUGGAGCGACGAUAACCCUGGGAGAAGAUACAAGACAUGCGCCAAGUCGCGGAUGGGAGGUUGUGAAAUGUACGAGUGGCAUGACGAUCCCAUUGAGGAACCAUUCCUCAAACAACUCAUCACUGAUCUCUGCGACAGGGUGCGUCAGUUAGAGAGGAUCAGCUCAGAGUUGCGUGAUGCAGCAAGUGCAGUGCCACAACACCAAACUCCCCAGCUAGAAGUUGCUCCUGCUCCUACAGAUAAUUUAGCUCUGAAUCAAGGAUCUGGCUACGUGAAGGCAUUUGCAAUGUUCGUGCUGCUGGCAGCAUUCUGUUACAAGUGCUUCUAUGGUUAG